GUGCCCAGCGCUGCAGGGCA
This 20-nucleotide microRNA is filed under the name Sus scrofa (pig). RNAcentral's name for it is "ssc-miR-4335". Lineage: Eukaryota; Metazoa; Chordata; Mammalia; Artiodactyla; Suidae. The record is from miRBase by way of RNAcentral.